This 1574-nucleotide ribosomal RNA is filed under the name Triticum aestivum (bread wheat). Its description in RNAcentral is "partial small subunit ribosomal RNA". Lineage: Eukaryota; Viridiplantae; Streptophyta; Magnoliopsida; Poales; Poaceae. The record is from RNAcentral.
AUCACUGCUAAGUGUGUCUUUUAGGUCGUUCUCCUUAGUAGUAUUCGCGAGUUCGAGCUUCUUUUUUCCCCUAUUCUUUUGGUGACAACUCAGACUUCUACUCAUGUGGUUCCUACCUUACAGAUUACCCGUCGUUCUACCUCUAGUUCCUUUGACCUUACGCAAGGUCUUAAAGAACGAGUCUCUACUUCUCUUCUGUUCUCUAGUAUUACUGCGCCUGUACAAGCGGUCACUUUCUCUCCGUGGUGUUGGUGGAUCCUCCUUUCUCUGGUGUUCUUCAUAACUACUAGGAUAAGAAAAUAGUCUCGCUCCAAGACGGCUACAGUUACUCGCCGUACGCUACAGAAAGUCAAGUCGGUUGCCCUCUUAAUCCCGGUCCGUCUACUACAGACCACUACUUGAAUACUACAGACGCCUUCCAGCCUCGAAACACCUACCACCGUACUUCCUCUAUCUUCGACCUCCACCUCCUAUGUCUUCUCCCCGUUUACUACUGAAGUACCAAAUACCUGUCCUGUUGAGUUACCUGUCCUCCUCGAGGAACCUGGGGGAACGGCUCCGCGUAAUGUUCUCUGGGUGAGGAGAUCUCCUUUUCUUCUUACACGUGUCAUACCCGCUACUCAGGAAGUACUAUGGACAAUGGAGGUUGAGUGUCCUAUUAGAACCUCGUCGGCCGGCAUGACGGUAACUGUAUCUACGGCUCGAACCGAGUUCACAAGUCUUUUGUAGUCUACGAUUCCGACCUCGACUUGAAAAGAUACUCGGUCUACUCAACUAAGGUCUCGCACCUAAACUUCUACAAAGUAAACCUAUACUGGGUAGUUACCUGAUACUGUCGGUGUACGUCUAAGUCGUACUGCAGUCGCAACUUCUACGUUUACGUCUCCUAAAUAGGCAAACACAACUCCCACUUCUUUUCUACGGCCCCUUUCUAUUCUUCGAAUCUCCAAGUGUCCUCCCGCACCUAUUUUCUUCCUUCCUACGGAGUCGUUCCUCUAACAGUCGCGGGUUUCCUGGUGAUUGACUACGUGUCUUUGCACGCGUUUUGGAUGCCCGCAUGUUUCGCUCGGAAGUUUUCCUUUUCUUCCUCGACCUUCGCCUCGUCUACUUUGCCGACCUUUCCGAAUUCGUUCUCUCCCUUUUCUCCUAACGACGUUCUUCGCCGCGUAGCUUAGGGGUCUUUUGGUGUCGAUUUCGUUCGCGUCACUCGUUCAGUUGGAGUAGGAACCGACUCUACUUUUUCCUCUUUUCACCGCCGUGUUGGCUUAGGAACUAACUCGCUAACUUUUUCGAACGAGUUGGAUUUUGGUUACGAAGUUGAAACUUGGGGUUCAGUCGCUGGCGCCUGGUGGGUGCCUCUUCUUCGAACGGCGUUAUUCCAGGAACACGAAACCCCUCAUAAAUAAACCAAAACAACUGACUAACUACUCCGGUUAUUAAGCUAAACAUAACUAAUUUUAAAAAACCAGACAACUAAAGAUCAUGUAUUAGAUGUGUAACAACAUAUAAUGCUGCCUCAACAAACAUUCGUCAAACAAACAUAUUAGACAGUAAACGCAACAUAAUGUUAGAUG